GCCGGUGUAUCUCAGUCGGUAGAGGCGUGCAGCUGCAUAAUCAAGGAAUGCGGAGACCUGGGUUCGAGUCCCAGCACCGGCA
This 82-nucleotide transfer RNA is filed under the name Dialister sp. Its description in RNAcentral is "tRNA-OTHER". It matches the Rfam family "tRNA". Rfam says of the family: Transfer RNA (tRNA) molecules are approximately 80 nucleotides in length. Their secondary structure includes four short double-helical elements and three loops (D, anti-codon, and T loops). Lineage: Bacteria; Bacillati; Bacillota; Negativicutes; Veillonellales; Veillonellaceae. The record is from RNAcentral.